RNAcentral lists this ribosomal RNA (381 nucleotides) under uncultured bacterium. RNAcentral's name for it is "bacterial SSU rRNA". It matches the Rfam family "Bacterial small subunit ribosomal RNA", at positions 30 to 414 of the family's 1533-position model. The record is from RNAcentral.
AUUGAACGCUGGCGGCAUGCCUUACACAUGCAAGUCGAACGGCAGCACGGGGCAACCUGGUGGCGAGUGGCGAACGGGUGAGUAAUGCAUCGGAACGUGCCAUUGAGUGGGGGAUAACGUAGCGAAAGUUGCGCUAAUACCGCAUAUUCUGUGAGCAGGAAAGCAGGGGACCGCAAGGCCUUGCGCUCUUUGAGCGGCCGAUGUCAGAUUAGCUAGUUGGUGAGGUAACGGCUUACCAAGGCGACGAUCUGUAGCGGUCUGAGAGGAUGAUCCGCCACACUGGAACUGAGACACGGUCCAGACUCCUACGGGAGGCAGCAGUGGGGAAUUUUGGACAAUGGGCGCAAGCCUGAUCCAGCCAUGCCGCGUGAGUGAAGAAGG